This is a long non-coding RNA of Apis cerana (Asiatic honeybee), 1344 nucleotides long. RefSeq lists it as uncharacterized. The record is from RefSeq and is a predicted model, not a curated record. NCBI's taxonomy places the organism in Eukaryota, Metazoa, Arthropoda, Insecta, Hymenoptera, Apidae.
CUUGAACGCAUAAAUUUUACAGAGUAAAUAUAGAUAAGAAGAAUAAAUAGUGGAAGAAAGAUAUAGAUGGAGUAAAAAUAUACAAAUCAGCACCAUCUCUAGAGAUUUGUAUGAAAUUAACAUAGACAAUUAAAAGAAUAAAAAUAGAAUAAAAAUUAGCCAUUAGCGCUAUCUCUUGAGUGCCUCAAAAAUAUUUCUUUAAAGAUAAAAUAGGAUAAGAAAUGAAGAUUAGCGCUAAAAUAGUAUAUUAUCGACAGAAUAAGCUAAAUCGUUUAACUUUUUAAACUUUAAACACAAACUUAGAUUCAUAAGAAUAAUUUAAAAUUCUUAUUUUAUUAUGAUAUAUCUUUUAUAAAAAAUGUGAUUAAAAAAUAUUUUUCAUUUAUAUAAAAUGAAUGAAAUAUCUAAUAACGUAGAUUUCUAUUUGUGUAUUUAUAUUAUAUCUUAUAAAUAUAUUAAAUAUUACUUUAAGAAGGCAACAUGUAAAAUAUUUAUGAUCAUGUUGAAUAAAAGAUUUGAUAUUUUUAAUUAAUAAUAUUAAUAUUGUAGAUUAUUUUGUAAUGUUUAGUAAUAUAUUUGUAACAUUAUAAAGCUUGAUCAUCAUAUAAAUCUUUUAUUCUAAUAAAAAAGAUGAUUGAAAAAGUAAAACAUAAAAAAUAGGAUACUAACACAUUUUGAAUAUCUCCAAAAUAUCAAAAAUUAAAAGUUGAGGAUCUUAUAUGACACGUUUUGCUGAUUAUAACAAUAAGUAAUUGCAUUUGUAGGCGAAGAAACUAAGCGUAAACAAUAUGUAUAGAUAUAAAUACAAUAUUAAACAGUAAAAAGUUGAUAAGAACAUGAAGUAAAUAAACAACAACAAACGAGCUUUGGAAAAACCAUGUAUUAUAGAAUAAUAAUAGAUUACAUUGUUCAUGGUAAUAAUGAUAUAAUAAACCAGAAUAUACCUGACAAUAAUAAUAAGAAUCUAAAAUAACACGAAUACUGAAUACAUAUUAUUAACAAUAAUGAGAGGAGGGACUUUGGGGAUGUUUGGCAAAGGAAGGGGCCAAGCCGCUCAGAAUUGUAUUCGAAAUAAAAGAAAAAAGAAGAGAAGACGAGAAGGAAGUAAAUAAAGUUUCUUAGAUAAAAUUAAUAAGAUUUUCUGAUUAAACGUAACAUCUUUGACACGUUUAGUCAUUUGAGCAUUUUAAAAUAAAAAUUGACUAAAUAACUCGACGCAAAACGAUUUCAAUUACGUUUGACAUCCGCUCCUCUUAUCGUAUGCAAAAAAAAUUAUAUAUUUGUGAAUUAAUAGAACAAGACAAAAAAAAAUUAAAACAAAAAAAAAAAAAAAACGAAAUACAA